This is a non-coding RNA of Bos taurus (domestic cattle), 72 nucleotides long. The record is from Rfam. NCBI's taxonomy places the organism in Eukaryota, Metazoa, Chordata, Mammalia, Artiodactyla, Bovidae.
UCUUUUGUAGUCCAGUGAUUAGGACUUUACCUUUUAAUGCAGAGGAUGCAGGUUCAAUCCCUGUUUGGGGAA